This 366-nucleotide ribosomal RNA is filed under the name uncultured eukaryote. Its description in RNAcentral is "SSU rRNA". It matches the Rfam family "Eukaryotic small subunit ribosomal RNA", at positions 587 to 972 of the family's 1831-position model. The record is from RNAcentral.
AGCUCCAAUAGCGUAUAUUAAAGUUGUUGCAGUUAAAAAGCUCGUAGUUGAAUUUCUAUAUGCAUAUUAAUCGGAGCAAUUCAUUAAUAUGUAUAUAUCCGACAUUGAACUAUAAUGGUUAUUUAGUUAAUCUUAUAGCGAACUGUCAUUUUACUUUGAAAAAAUUAGAGUGUUUCAGGCAGGCAUUUGCCCGAAUAUCUUAGCAUGGAAUAAUGGAAUAGGACUUUGGUUCAUUUGAUUGGUUAUUGAAUCAGAGUAAUGAUUAAUAGGGACAGUUGGGGGCAUUAGUAUUUAAUUGUCAGAGGUGAAAUUCUUGGAUUUAUUAAAGACUAACUUAUGCGAAAGCAUUUGCCAAGGAUGUUUUCA